UACGGAAGGCAGCAGGGGGAAUAUUGCACAAUGGGCGCAAGCCUGAUGCAGCCAUGCCGCGUGUAUGAAGAAGGCCUUCGGGUUGUAAAGUACUUUCAGUCGUGAGGAAGGUGUUAAGGUUAAUAACCUUAGCAAUUGACGUUAGCGACAGAAGAAGCACCGGCUAACUCCGUGCCAGCAGCCGCGGUAAUACGGAGGGUGCGAGCGUUAAUCGGAAUUACUGGGCGUAAAGGGCACGCAGGCGGUUAAUUAAGUUGGAUGUGAAAUCCCCGGGCUUAACCUGGGAAUGGCAUUCAAGACUGGUUAGCUAGAGUCUUGUAGAGGGGGUUAGAAUUCCAUGUGUAGCGGUGAAAUGCGUAGAGAUGUGGAGGAAUACCGGUGGCGAAGGCGGCCCCCUGGACAAAGACUGACGCUCAUGUGCGAAAGCUGGGGAGCAAACAGGGAUUAGAUACC
RNAcentral lists this ribosomal RNA (453 nucleotides) under uncultured bacterium. RNAcentral describes it as "bacterial SSU rRNA". It matches the Rfam family "Bacterial small subunit ribosomal RNA", at positions 340 to 786 of the family's 1533-position model. The record is from RNAcentral.